CUUUUUCCACCGGAGCUUGCUCCACCGGAAAAAGAGGAGUGGCGAACGGGUGAGUAACACGUGGGUAACCUGCCCAUCAGAAGGGGAUAACACUUGGAAACAGGUGCUAAUACCGUAUAACAAUCGAAACCGCAUGGUUUUGAUUUGAAAGGCGCUUUCGGGUGUCGCUGAUGGAUGGACCCGCGGUGCAUUAGCUAGUUGGUGAGGUAACGGCUCACCAAGGCGACGAUGCAUAGCCGACCUGAGAGGGUGAUCGGCCACAUUGGGACUGAGACACGGCCCAAACUCCUACGGGAGGCAGCAGUAGGGAAUCUUCGGCAAUGGACGAAAGUCUGACCGAGCAACGCCGCGUGAGUGAAGAAGGUUUUCGGAUCGUAAAACUCUGUUGUUAGAGAAGAACAAGGAUGAGAGUAACUGUUCAUCCCUUGACGGUAUCUAACCAGAAAGCCACGGCUAACUACGUGCCAGCAGCCGCGGUAAUACGUAGGUGGCAAGCGUCGUCCGGAUUUAUUGGGCGUAAAGCGAGCGCAGGCGGUUUCUUAAGUCUGAUGUGAAAGCCCCCGGCUCAACCGGGGAGGGUCAUUGGAAACUGGGAGACUUGAGUGCAGAAGAGGAGAGUGGAAUUCCAUGUGUAGCGGUGAAAUGCGUAGAUAUAUGGAGGAACACCAGUGGCGAAGGCGGCUCUCUGGUCUGUAACUGACGCUGAGGCUCGAAAGCGUGGGG
RNAcentral lists this ribosomal RNA (723 nucleotides) under Enterococcus hirae. Its description in RNAcentral is "bacterial SSU rRNA". It matches the Rfam family "Bacterial small subunit ribosomal RNA", at positions 71 to 766 of the family's 1533-position model. Lineage: Bacteria; Bacillati; Bacillota; Bacilli; Lactobacillales; Enterococcaceae. The record is from RNAcentral.